GACGAACGCUGGCGGCGUGCCUAAUACAUGCAAGUCGAGCGAAUCAAUAGGAGCUUGCUCCUGUUGGUUAGCGGCGGACGGGUGAGUAACACGUGGACAACCUGCCUGUAAGACUGGGAUAACUUCGGGAAACCGGCGCUAAUACCGGAUAAUCCUUUUCCACUCAUGUGGGAAAGCUGAAAGUCGGUUUCGUCUGACACUUACAGAUGGGCCCGCGGCGCAUUAGCUAGUUGGUGAGGUAACGGCUCACCAAGGCGACGAUGCGUAGCCGACCGGAGAGGGUGAUCGGCCACACUGGGACUGAGACACGGCCCAGACUCCUACGGGAGGCAGCAGUAGGGAAUCUUCCGCAAUGGACGAAAGUCUGACGGAGCAACGCCGCGUGAGCGAUGAAGGCCUUCGGGUCGUAAAGCUCUGUUGUUAGGGAAGAAUAAGUAUCGGAGUAACUGCCGGUACCUUGACGGUACCUAACCAGAAAGCCACGGCUAACUACGUGCCAGCAGCCGCCGUAA
This 512-nucleotide ribosomal RNA is filed under the name uncultured bacterium. Its description in RNAcentral is "partial 16S ribosomal RNA". It matches the Rfam family "Bacterial small subunit ribosomal RNA", at positions 28 to 523 of the family's 1533-position model. The record is from RNAcentral.